Molecule: unclassified non-coding RNA, 1690 nt
Filed under: Hevea brasiliensis (rubber tree)
Lineage: Eukaryota; Viridiplantae; Streptophyta; Magnoliopsida; Malpighiales; Euphorbiaceae
Source: RNAcentral
AUAACUUCUUUUUUCUCUUAAAUUCUUGUCUCAGUUAUUCUAUCAACUGAAAAAUAAAAUAAAAAAAUUAGAGAAAAUUAACGAAAAUCGCGCAUCCAGUUGAAAUGUUAUCAGAAUCAGAACCACCGGCUGCAGCCGCCAGUUUACCAUCAGCAACCCCUCCGCCGCCGUCGUCCGAUGAGGACUUUUUCUCGUCUGUAUCAGUGGCAUCGACGUCUUCCACGUCAUCGCCUUCCACCCCGAUUCCUUCACCACCACAGCUUCAUCCAGAGAUCCCAAUUUCAUGGCCUGAAGACGGGACCUUAACCCUAGCUUGGGUUACCAACUUGAUGCUAGCAUUUGAUUGGUCAUCCAAGAAUCUUGCUCCGACGGAGCUGCCAUCGGUGUUGCCGGUAGUGGUGUUUGAUCGGCUGAUACUAACGGCUUCCAAGAUCUUGCAUAAAGAACCCAAUUGUGUGCAUAUUGAUAGCGGGUCGGGGUUGGGAAAUGAUUCGAGGGUUGUUGUGGUUGGGGACGUGCACGGCCAGCUACAUGAUGUCUUGUUCUUAUUGAGAGAUGCGGGUUUUCCCUCUGACGAUCGGUUCUUUGUGUUCAACGGAGACUAUGUCGAUAGAGGCGCUUGGGGUCUUGAGACCUUUCUUACCUUGUUGGCUUGGAAGGUUUUUAUGCCCAAUAGGGUGUUUCUCCUUCGUGGAAAUCACGAGUCGAAGUACUGUACUUCUGUUUAUGGUUUUGAAAAGGAGGUUCUAGCGAAGUAUGCGGAUAGUGGGAAACAUGUAUACAGGAAAUGUUUAGGAUGCUUCGAAGGACUUCCUCUUGCAUCCAUUAUUGGGGAUCAUGUCUACACAGCUCAUGGAGGUAUUUUCCGCAGUAUUGCUGUCACUCCAGCUAAAAGAGCUAAAGGGAAGAAGAACCGUAAAAUAGUUUCAAAUCCUGAUGUUACUACUUUAUCUCUUGGUUCUAUGGAGGAAUUAUUAAAAGCUAGGAGAUCUGUCCUUGAUCCUCCUUGGGAAGGUACGAAUCUGAUACCGGGUGAUGUCUUGUGGUCAGACCCGUCAAUGAAACCUGGACUUUCCCCAAAUAAAGAAAGAGGAAUUGGUCUCUUAUGGGGUCCGGAUUGCACCGAAGAUUUCUUGAAGAUGUUGAAUUUAAAGUUGAUUAUUAGGUCACAUGAAGGUCCAGAUGCAAGGGAAAAGAGAGAGGGAAUGAAAGGAAUGGAUCAAGGGUACACCAUAGAUCAUGAGGUCCAGUCCGGUAAAUUGAUUACAGUGUUUAGUGCCCCAGACUAUCCACAGUUUCAGGCAACUAAGGAUAGGUACCGAAAUAAAGGAGCAUAUAUUAUUUUGGAACCUCCUAAUUUUGACAUCCCCGUUUAUCGUAGUUUUGAAGCAGUGAUGCCCCGACCCAAGGUGAAUCCAUAUUAUGAUUUUGAAGAUUGCAUUGAUUCUGAUGAAGAAUUAGACUUGGCGUCUAUGGCUACAUGAAGGUAGUUCUCAUGAUCAGCGCGACAUUUGCAAAGCUUAAAAUAUUGUACAUGCUUCUAUAUUAUUUUUGAGGUGAUAUUAGUAAAAUUAUUCCUUCAAGAUUUCUUGACUGUUAGAGAGAUACGUAUCAUGGUUUUCUACUCAGAACAGUUGCUGAUGUACAACCUUUUUUUGUAUCAAAUUUAGACAGACUGUUUCUUGUACAA